This 481-nucleotide ribosomal RNA is filed under the name Oxynopterus mucronatus. RNAcentral's name for it is "partial large subunit ribosomal RNA". It matches the Rfam family "Archaeal large subunit ribosomal RNA", at positions 1944 to 2658 of the family's 2987-position model. Lineage: Eukaryota; Metazoa; Arthropoda; Insecta; Coleoptera; Elateridae. The record is from RNAcentral.
GUCUAAUCUGCUCAAUGAAAUUUUAAAUUGCCGCGGUAUUUUGACCGUGCAAAGGUAGCAUAAUAAUUAGUUUUUUUAUUGAAAGCUGGAAUGAAUGAUUGGACGAGAAAGUAUCUGUCUCUAAAAAAAUUAUUUUUGAAUUUAACUUUUGAGUAAAAAGGCUCAAAUUUUUUUUAAAGACCAGAAGACCCUAUAGAGUUUAAUAUUUAAUUUGUUAUGUUAAUUUUUGGAUUUUAUUUUUUUAAUUAGUUAUUUAUUUAGUUGGGGUGACUAGAAGAUUAAAUAAACUCUUCUAAUAAUAUUGAAUCAUUGAUUUAUGAAAAUAUAAUCUAGUUUAAUCUAAAUAUAAGAUAAAUUACCUUAGGGAUAACAGCGUUAUUUCUUUUUAGAGUUCUAAUUGGAAAAGAAGUUUGCGACCUCGAUGUUGGAUUAAAAUUAGUUUUUGGUGCAGAAGCUUGAAAACUGGGUCUGUUCGACCUUU